Molecule: unclassified non-coding RNA, 405 nt
Filed under: soil metagenome
Description: partial contains 5.8S ribosomal RNA, internal transcribed spacer 2, and large subunit ribosomal RNA
Rfam family: 5.8S ribosomal RNA (bases 1-121)
Source: RNAcentral
GAUGAAGAACGUAGCGAAAUGCGAUAAGUAAUGUGAAUUGCAGAAUUCAGUGAAUCAUCGAAUCUUUGAACGCACCUUGCGCCCUUUGGACAUUCCGAAGGGCAUGCCUGUUUGAGUAUCAUGAACACCUCAACUCUCACGGCUUGUCCGUGAUGAGCUUGGACUUUGGGGGUCUUGCCGGCCUGUGGUCGGCUCCUCUCAAAUGGAUCAGCUUGCCAGUGUUUGGUGGCAUCACAGGUGUGAUAACUAUCUGCGCUUGUGGUUUUCCAUCAGAUAACCUUCAGUGAUAUGGAGGUUCGCUGGAGCUCACAAAUGUCUCUCCUUAGUGAGGACAGCUCUUUUAACGUUUGAUCUCAAAUCAGGUAGGACUACCCGCUGAACUUAAGCAUAUCAAUAAGCGGAGGA